RNAcentral lists this ribosomal RNA (119 nucleotides) under Pteropus alecto (black flying fox). The record is from RNAcentral. Lineage: Eukaryota; Metazoa; Chordata; Mammalia; Chiroptera; Pteropodidae.
UACUACGGUCAUGCCACCCUGAACAAGCCCGAUCCCAUCUGAUCUCAGAAGCUAAGUAGGGUCAGGCCUGGUUAGUACUUGGAUGGGAGACCACCUAGGAAGACUAGGUGCUGUAGGUG